CAGAAUUCUGAUAAUCCUGGCCUUUGAGACGGGGGCUAUAUUUAUUGGUGUCUUCUCUCAACUGACUCAGUCACAGCUAAACAAGUAGUCUUGUCUGAGAAGCCACUGAUCUCUGAGGAGACAGAUCUUAUUGAGCUAACUCUACUGGAGAGCUCAUGUGCCACAUUGGUUCUUUGGCCUCUGUGUAUCAUAAGCCUCCAAAUAUUUUUGUGGAAGGAAGUCAUGGAAUCCAUUGUAAAUAGUUGCCAAUUCAUCAUGGGAGUACUGAUUCAGGUGACAGCCCUGUUGGUACCACUGCAACUAACCUGAAACAGCCUCAGGUUAUCCCCUCAUAAGGUAAUCUUCUCAGGGGUCUUUUAAACCUUGACCUCAGUCAACCAGUCAAUGUGCCACAGGUGUCCUCCAUGCAGAUGGGAGCAGUGGAUCUCUUGGGAGGAGGAUAAGAUAGUCUGGUGGGACAAUCCUUCAUCCUAUGAUGGGUGUCUGCAACCUUUGUUUCUUCAUCUACACCUGCUGUGGUCAGCAGUGGACUGAAUGACCUGUUUGAACUCUCCACAGGGAUAGGCAUGGCACCUGGUGGGUAUGUGGCUCCUAAGGCUAUUUCUGGCUACCUGCAUUACAGGAUAAAGGCUUAGAGAUUUCAGGAACAUUGAGUCACCACCAAGGGCACAUCUAUAUGGAAAUGAACUUCACCAAUACAGCUCUGCAGCAUAUGACAGAUUUUGUAAUCUAGUUUAACAAGAAUAGCACUCCUCUGGCCAUCCAUACACCACUGAUGCCAAACCAGAACAUUGAUGUCUCCCUGCCUCUCAAUACUUUGGGCCUAGUCAUGAAGAUGACUGAAUAACCUGCAGGUGGCUGUGAAAAACAAUAUUGAUGUCUUCUACUUCAGUCACCUCACCCCACCUCACCCCAAUCAGUGUGCUUUUUAGAAGAUGGCAAAAUGGAGCACCAGGUCUUUCUUGCAACAGGGAAGGAUAUUCCCAAUGAAAUGAACUUCAGUUUUAGAUUAACGAAUGUCAUUUAAAUGCUGACAUUGUUUCCAGCAAGUUGCAAAACAAUAAUGUUUAUACUAUUGCCAAGAGUAAUGUGGAAGGGCAGGACAUGGUGUACCAAUCCCUGAAGCUCACUAAUGGCAUUUGGAUUUUGGCUGAGCUAUGUAUCCACCCAGGAAACCCCCAUUAUAUGCUGUCACUGAAGUGCAGAGCUCCUGAAGUCUCCCAAUACAUAUCAAGUCUAG
Molecule: long non-coding RNA, 1240 nt
Filed under: Homo sapiens (human)
Lineage: Eukaryota; Metazoa; Chordata; Mammalia; Primates; Hominidae
Description: non-protein coding lnc-AMY1C-3:1
Source: RNAcentral